CCGCAUCUUGUCCUCAAUAGGGGUCACACCCACAUUGUCGCGAAUAACCUCAUUUAUAAUCCUAUCUAACCUGGUAUGCACGCACAUCCAUUUCAACAUCUGCAUCUCUGCAACCUUUUUCUUUUGGACAUAAGCGAUCUUGACUGGCCAACACUCAAUCCCGGACUGGCCAACUCGCGUCGUAGGUCUGACCACCACUUUGUAGAACUUACCCUUAAGUUUCGAUGGCAUCUUCUUGUCACACAAAAUACUGGACGUGAGUCUCCACUUUC
This 272-nucleotide long non-coding RNA is filed under the name Nicotiana benthamiana. RNAcentral describes it as "long non-coding RNA (NBEN_LNC006779)". Lineage: Eukaryota; Viridiplantae; Streptophyta; Magnoliopsida; Solanales; Solanaceae. The record is from RNAcentral.